This 253-nucleotide ribosomal RNA is filed under the name uncultured bacterium. RNAcentral describes it as "partial 16S ribosomal RNA". It matches the Rfam family "Bacterial small subunit ribosomal RNA", at positions 524 to 776 of the family's 1533-position model. The record is from RNAcentral.
UACGUAGGGUCCGAGCGUUGUCCGGAAUUAUUGGGCGUAAAGGGCGCGUAGGCGGCUUGGCAAGUGGAAGGUGAAAUCCCUCGGCUUAACCGAGGAACUGCCCUCCAAACUGCUUCGCUUGAGACCGGGAGAGGUGAGUGGAAUUCCCAGUGUAGCGGUGAAAUGCGUAGAUAUUGGGAGGAACACCAGUGGCGAAGGCGGCUCACUGGACCGGUACUGACGCUGAAGCGCGAAAGCGUGGGGAGCAAACGGG